Molecule: unclassified non-coding RNA, 379 nt
Filed under: uncultured Gammaproteobacteria bacterium
Lineage: Bacteria; Pseudomonadati; Pseudomonadota; Gammaproteobacteria
Description: contains 16S-23S intergenic spacer region
Source: RNAcentral
UCCGGCUUGUCACCGGCAGUUUCUCCAAAGUGCCCAGCAUUACCUGAUGGCAACUGGAGACGAGGGUUGCGCUCGUUGCGGGACUUAACCCAACAUCUCACGACACGAGCUGACGACAGCCAUGCAGCACCUGUGUUCCGAUUCCCUUUCGGGCACUCCCACCUUUCAGCAGGAUUCCGGACAUGUCAAGGGUAGGUAAGGUUGUUCGCGUUGCAUCGAAUUAAUCCACAUCAUCCACCGCUUGUGCGGGUCCCCGUCAAUUCCUUUGAGUUUUAAUCUUGCGACCGUACUCCCCAGGCGGUCAACUUCACGCGUUAGCUGCGGUACCAAGAACUUGCGCUCCCAACACCUAGUUGACAUCGUUUAGGGCGUGGACUAC